AACGAGGGGGGCAAGCGUUAUUCAACAUAACUGGGCGUAAAGAGUCUGUAGACGGUAAUAUAAGUUAUUUGUUAAAAUAUAAAUAAAAGUUUAUUUAGCUUAUAAUACUAUUUUACUUUUUGAGUUUUAUACAGAAAAGCAGAAUUUUAUUUGUAAGGGUGAAAUCUGUUUAUAAAUAAAGGAAUGCCAUUAAAGCGAAGGCGGCUUUUUAGUAAAAACUGACGUUGAGAGACGAAAGUAUGGGUAGCAAACAGG
RNAcentral lists this ribosomal RNA (255 nucleotides) under uncultured bacterium. Its description in RNAcentral is "partial 16S ribosomal RNA". It matches the Rfam family "Bacterial small subunit ribosomal RNA", at positions 524 to 776 of the family's 1533-position model. The record is from RNAcentral.